AGGUUUAGAUGAAUGGAAAAUGAACUUGCCAGUUCACAGCUAUGUCCUUCCCAAUUUAGGAGGUUAAGGGCAGGAAAAACAUGAGAAACUCUUUUGAGAAGCUGCACAAGCUGACAUGGAGGAUCAAGGAUUUCAAAAGCUUUGAAUAUAAAGAGGUGUCAGACUUACAUCAGAGCCUGAGACUUGACAUGCCUAUUUUUGCACUCGCUCAUUUUUCAAAUUUCAUAGGCAUUGCUCCCUCCAAAUCACCGCUCUUCUAAUUUUAUCCUGGAGUGUGCAUCCCAGAAGACAUAAGCUGACACAAUUGGGAACUGAAGUUGCUUGAAAAAGCUGGUGACUCUAGACAGCUUAUACGUAUUUGGACAAGGCAACGUGAUGAAGAAAUAAUAUAAUUGUAGGAUCACCUCUGUCCAGUAGCUGUUAUCCAACAUCUGCAUACUUAGAUUUCUGGAGAGGUUGGAGUGCAGUGGCACCAUCUCGGUUCACUGCAACCUCCACCUUUGAGGUUCAAGCAAUUCUCCUGCCUCAGCCUCCUGAGUAGCUGGGACUACAUGCGCGUGCCACCAAACCCAGCUAAUUUUUGUAGUUUUUAGUAGAGUUGGGGUUCACCAUAUUGGACAGACUGGUCUUCAACUCAUGACCUCAAGUAAUCUGCCUGACUUCGCUUCCCAAAGUGUUGGGAUUACAGACAUAAGCCACCAUGCCUGGUCCAAUACAAUGAUAUUAAGAGGUUGAUGCUUGUAUACAUGUGUAACUAGCCUGCACAUUGUGGACAUGUACCCUAAAACUUAAAGUAUAAUAAUAAUAAAAUAAAUAAA
This is a long non-coding RNA of Homo sapiens (human), 818 nucleotides long. Ensembl annotates it as long intergenic non-protein coding RNA 1684. The record is from Ensembl. NCBI's taxonomy places the organism in Eukaryota, Metazoa, Chordata, Mammalia, Primates, Hominidae.